UUCAACUAGAAGGAAAGGGGCAUCGAUCUCUGCUCAUUCAAGUUUUAAAUGGUGGUUUCUGACUCGGAAGCCGAUAUAUCUGUUUAUAUUCGAGUUAUAAACGCAAUGUUAUUAUAUAUGAACUCAAGAUCGGUGACCUCCAUACCUACACAUUACUACGUGGGAUAUCUUCUCGUUUGGUGGUUUACAUAGUCAGACCUUCAAGGUACUAGAUCUGUGUGGUGUUGACAAAAUUGAGGACAAAAGUUUUACCGUUCCGAUUUGAGGCUAUUUCGGACGUUGAUAUGUACAAAAUCUUAAUUGUUGAUUUUAUGUUUCAGUGUGGGUGCAUGAAUGGCAGGGUAUUUAUAUUUGGGGUCUUUUAAUAAAGAAAUUUGUUUAAUGAAAAUUAAAUGGACCAAACUACCCCUGCAGAUAAAGACAAAAAAGGAACCUUAAAACACUUAAAAAAGAGAGAUUUUGAGUUUUGAACUAA
This 475-nucleotide long non-coding RNA is filed under the name Helianthus annuus (common sunflower). RNAcentral's name for it is "sRNA HanXRQr2_Chr15g0678941". Lineage: Eukaryota; Viridiplantae; Streptophyta; Magnoliopsida; Asterales; Asteraceae. The record is from RNAcentral.